AUAAAAUUAUUUUAAAAAACACAUCUGUUUUUAUCAGUUUAAUAUCUGAUACGUCCCCUACCCGGGCACCAUAUAAUAAAUAGAUUUUUGGAAGAGGGAUAUGGAAUAGGGGCUUGCUCCGUCCACUCCACGCAUCAUGGAGUGGACUUCCUGGGAUGGUGCACCCCCU
RNAcentral lists this small nuclear RNA (169 nucleotides) under Amphilophus citrinellus (Midas cichlid). RNAcentral's name for it is "U2 spliceosomal RNA (ENSACIG00000005386.1)". It matches the Rfam family "U2 spliceosomal RNA". From Rfam's summary of the family: U2 is a small nuclear RNA (snRNA) component of the spliceosome (involved in pre-mRNA splicing). Complementary binding between U2 snRNA (in an area lying towards the 5' end but 3' to hairpin I) and the branchpoint sequence (BPS) of the intron results the bulging out of an unpaired adenosine, on the BPS, which initiates a nucleophilic attack at the intronic 5' splice site, thus starting the first of two transesterification reactions that mediate splicing. Lineage: Eukaryota; Metazoa; Chordata; Actinopteri; Cichliformes; Cichlidae. The record is from RNAcentral.